AGUUAUCUCCCUAAGUAGUCCGGUACAGAAAACUGGCUCUAACUCAGGUGUUUUUACUACAAGUCCAACAAUUAGCUCUUUCCCAAGUACUACAGCAGAAUAC
This is a long non-coding RNA of Pelobates fuscus (common spadefoot toad), 103 nucleotides long. RefSeq lists it as uncharacterized. NCBI's taxonomy places the organism in Eukaryota, Metazoa, Chordata, Amphibia, Anura, Pelobatidae. The transcript has 3 exons. The record is from RefSeq and is a predicted model, not a curated record.